This 4165-nucleotide long non-coding RNA is filed under the name Sorghum bicolor (sorghum). Its description in RNAcentral is "long non-coding RNA (SBIC_LNC002182)". Lineage: Eukaryota; Viridiplantae; Streptophyta; Magnoliopsida; Poales; Poaceae. The record is from RNAcentral.
UAGCCACAUCUUGAGUAUUAUGUGGAAUAUGAAGAAUGCAAGGAGCUGAUGAGGUAAAAAUGAGAGGUAUCGGGGAAAAAGAUAGCACCAAAUUUUAAGCUUUGUCAAAAAUAUCCGUGUGCAAGAAGCACUAGAAUGCUCAGAAGCUCAUCAUAAAACAGCUACAGAGCCUAUAGUUAUAGGUGAUUGGCACAUACUAUGGACGGCCAUGGACAGCUCGCCGUGGCAACGCUUGUGGCAAUCACAAAGGGACUCUCUUGUCCCUUUAAUUUCUAGUCUGUAUUCUAAUUGGAGUUACAUCUCAUAUGUGCCAUGCACCUUCAGAAAGCUAAUAUAUAACAAACUGCGAUCCCAUGUCAGAGUGUAUGUCCGGUUGAUUCUGAGCUCAUCUCACCGGCCAGCGUCAGUAGCAGCUUUGAUGUUAAUUAGGCGCUGCAUCCCUAUGCUGUUUUCUCAUUAGCAGCACCACUGCAUAGUGCAAACUCUGUUGCCCAUUGGCUGCAUCCCUAUUCCGUUGCCCAUUGGGACUGUUUUCUCAAUUCCUUUUUGCUUCUCAGCGCUUCCCCAUUGCUACCUCCGUAUAAAAAAAAAUCAAUUCCUAGAAUCAUCUGAAGUUAAACUAUCUUAUGUUUAACCAACUUUAUAGUAAAGAGCAGUAUCAUCUAUGACACCAAUAAAUACAUUAGAACAGUAUAUGUCAUAAGGUACGUAGUGAUAUUUGGUGUCACUAAUUUUAUUGGUUUUCUUUAUAAAUUUGGUCAAAGUUUUUUUUACUUAAGAUAACUAUACAAGUUGAUUUAUUUUAGGACGGAGGUAGUAUAAUGGUAGGUUUCCAUUCAUAGUCCUUUUACAAAAUGAAGCUUCUAUAGUUUCUAAAACAAAGAUUACAAAAAAAGGAUUCUCCCACUCACACGCUUGUUGUAUAUAUGCCAGCACAUCUUAGCCUUUUAAAGUUUGAUUGAUCACAGCAUCGAAGCUUGGUCCCAUGUAAAUUGGUGGCCAAUAUUUCUUUUUUGUCUGAUUAAUACUGUAAUUAUUUACUGAGUAUAUGUUAUUGCCAUGACCCGAUCAUGACAUGUUGCUGAGCAUAAUCAUCAUUGUCAUCAUACGCAUUCAAAUCUCAUAUAAAAAACAGUGCUGAAAUCUGAUUUCAUACUGCUGACUGUUGGUUUGACGGAGGGUCUGCCACCCACAGCGAAGGGUCUAUCACUCCAUCUGCACGGACUAACAAGAGUCCAGUCUCUGUCAGUAUAAAACUUAUAGGUGACGAAGAGUCUGGCGCCAGAACCACCAGAUGGUCCGUCAACCCAUCCUAUGCCGUGAACAUGAGGUGUUACUUUAGGAGUAUCCUUGGCCCACCUGUCAUACCAGCUGUCCAGCUCACGAAAACCCAAACCCCAGAGCCACAGCAGCUCAUCCAUUCACUUUCACACUCCCUCUCUGUCUCUCUAGUUCAUCACUCUCUCUCUCUCUACACUCUCCCACACCAAAGAAACAAGGAGAAGGAAGAGAAAGGAAAGGAAGGGAGAUGGGAGGCUGCUGCAGCUGAAGAUGAAGAUGGAGAUCACCUAGAGGCAGCCAUCCAGAAGAGGUAGGGAUUAGAAGGGGAAGGAGACCUCUCACCAUCACAAUUUGGAGGAGUUAAACAAUGGAGCAAGAAGUCGAGUCAUCAACGGGAUAUCCAUCACUUUGGGAAGCUUACAAUCUUCUUUUGCAGCCCUUGGUAUGAAGCAAUUCAAGCUAAACCCUAGUUUCACUUCUUAUGAGCACAAAACCUAGGAAAUAUCUAUUUGAGACCCAAUCUUGUUUGCACGCAAUGUAGCUUCAACUACCUGGUUAGAUAUGCUCUAGAGUAUGCUAGGAAGCUACCCUAAAGAUAGAUUUCACAUGCAAGCUUUUGUAGACUAAGUUUUAGAUUUUGAGUUGGUAGAAAUAUGCACUGACAGAGAGUCCACCCUGACGGAGGGUCCAUUACUACUACUGCAACCCGACUGCUUUACAGUUAAAUUGAACAUUUUAUAAUUCUAUGGAGAGUCUGCCAUCUUUGAUGGUGGGGUCCGUGGAGUUAUAUUCCCAAGACUGAGAGCCUUAGACUACAGAAUUUUCUUAAUGGAGUGUCCGUGGAUAGCCACAGAGUGUCCGCUGAUUUAUAGCCAUGAAUUUUAGAGAGACAACCCGAGAGCAGCCAGUUUGUGGUGAGGCUCUGUCCUUUGUGGCAGAACCUUCCGCUGAAACAUGAACACUUAGAAGACUAAGUACCCUACAUACUUGUUUUGACGGACAAUCCACCACCAUGACGGAAUAUUCUGUUACCACUAUACCAGAGAGCACAAUUCUUCCAAGGCCACAGAAUUCCUGUACCGGAACGUCUGUGAAUUCUCACAAAGAGUCUGUUGAAUUAUAAAAUAGCAAUCCCAAAGUGACUAUCCAAGUGUUGCGGAGUGUCAGUGCCUUGUCACAGAGGAUCCGAUAGCCCCAGCUAAGUACCCAUGUUUGCGGACUGUUCGACUCAUAUCAGAGGGUCCAUUAACCCAAACCGACACCCCAAGUGCACAACACACAAACACUUAACACAUGUGAUCAAAGGUUAAUCAAAUAACAUCAAUGCAUCACAUAUCAUGCCAUUUACUUUAUACACUUCACAAGGAAGCCAUUGUAGAAGAAGAGCCCCAAUAGGCAGAAGCCAAUGAUGAGCCAACCAAUGUAGCUCAAGGCAAGUCCCUGUGCAUCCCUAUGCUUUUGCUAAAUGCAUAAUGAACUAUGGUUAUCUGUUGCAUCGAUAUGUUACUAUAUGAUCCAAUUAACCAUGAGUUAACUAGUUGAGUUAUCACACCUUGAUGAUACAACACCACUUAACCAUUGUUUGUUUCCUUUUAUUAAUUCAUGCUUAGUAAGAUCAUAAGUCGAGUUAAUGAUGGGUUUCUCAUUACUCGCGUGAUAUUAGCUAGGCAUGUUUUAAGAAACACUCAUUGAGAAUGAUCUAAAGCUUGACCAAUCAUGAACUAAUGAUGUUGAAUAGUCGGCGAGGGGUUGGGUCAUGGCAAGAAGGUGGUGAUCUUGAAUGAUAUAGCUUGCUAACCGGUUAAGGACUAUGUAACCAUAAUAAUGAGGAAUGGACAAAAAAUGUACAAACUCACAAAUGGGGGUGACAAGCAAGUGACUAAUUAUGACUGGUUUGUUUGUGAAACUAGCAUGAGGGUAGCUCCAGGUAGAUGGUGGUAGCUUUACCUGAGAACUUAUCAACCCUUUCAUGAACAUUCUUGGACAGAUUGGGAAAAGGUUGAGACAUCGAGGUAUCCCUUACGUACCGAUGGGUCGUAUGAGCAAUAUCCCUUGUUUUUGUAUAAAUGCUUCACUUGCAAUUGCUAAGUUCGUAGUUAACAUUUAUCAUUCUUGUAUAAAUGCUUUUGUGUGCAAAAUCAAAUGUAUUCCUUGCUACUAGCCAAAUUGCAUGAUCCUUGUUUAUUAUAUCGGGUAAGUCCUGCAGGGUACAAUUGAGUACUCACCCUAUGUGAUCUUGAGUUUUGCAGGUAGUUCAGCCCCCGUACAUGGUUUCUUCUAUGCCCGAGUCCUAGUCAGAUCAGGAGUGGUAGAGAGACCAAUGUCUCAUAGAUGUGUGGUGGUGGCACACCCACACAUUUGUUAUCAUGAAAACUAUGUUGAAAGACUUCCGCUAGACUCUGGUGGUAGUAUGUAAUGUGUAAACUUGUGUUAUGAACUAAGUGUGUGAAGUCCUGGAUUGUAAACUUAAGUAUCUUGAACUUGUAAUAUGACCUAGCUGUGGUCGUGAUGUAUUCUCUCUCUUUGGUUGAUCCUGGGUCAAGGCUGGUAUUUUAGUACAUCUUAUGAGAGGUGUACCGGGAUGACCAAUUAAGUGAAGUGUCUAAUUUAAUAGUCCUCGGACAACAAUCAUCUUGGGUACUCGCUUAAGAGGGCAUUGGUCCUGAUAAUUGUUGAAGGCAAAUUUGGCUAGAUAACACUGAAAGUGAGGCUGUGCAUCAGAAAGUUUAAUUGAACGGCAGGCACUAACAAAUUUGCUAGCACACGUCCAUCAAAAUACUGUUUUUUUAGCUGACAACUAGGAAGGGCAAUAUCUGGAAACUAGUUAAGGUCCGGUGCCCUUGAGCCAGGGAGUCCAGCUCCAAUAGGAAAUGCGUCGGUGUCU